CGCAAUGCGUCGUCCCCCCACCCCCUCACCCAUGUCCCGAAAGGGUCGCGGGCCUUAGCGUGGGGGGGCGGAAGUUGGCUUCCCGUGCAGCGUUUGCGGCUAGCCUGAAACAACGGUUCCCUCGGCGCGGACGUCGCGACAAGUGGUGGUCCGUGGAGAUUGUACGCGAGUUGCCGGCAAGCUGCGUCGAGGAGAGCAAUUGGACCCUGCGCGAGACGAGUCCCUUCGGCGAGGGGCA
Molecule: unclassified non-coding RNA, 238 nt
Filed under: Vincetoxicum matsumurae
Lineage: Eukaryota; Viridiplantae; Streptophyta; Magnoliopsida; Gentianales; Apocynaceae
Description: ITS2
Source: RNAcentral